UACGUAGGGUCCGAGCGCUAAUCGGAAUUACUGGGCGUAAAGCGUGCGCAGGCGGUUUUGUAAGCCAGAUGUGAAAGCCCCGGGCUCAACCUGGGAACUGCAUUUGGGACUGCAAGGCUGGAGUACGGCAGAGGGAGGUGGAAUUCCACGUGUAGCAGUGAAAUGCGUAGAGAUGUGGAGGAACACCGAUGGCGAAGGCAGCCUCCUGGGCUAGUACUGACGCUCAUGCACGAAAGCGUGGGGAGCAAACAGG
RNAcentral lists this ribosomal RNA (253 nucleotides) under uncultured bacterium. RNAcentral describes it as "partial 16S ribosomal RNA". It matches the Rfam family "Bacterial small subunit ribosomal RNA", at positions 524 to 776 of the family's 1533-position model. The record is from RNAcentral.